UUGAUUCUGGCUCAGGAUGAACGCUAGCGGCAGGCUUAACACAUGCAAGUCGAGGGGCAGCGGGGAGGAAGCUUGCUUUCUCCGCCGGCGACCGGCGCACGGGUGAGUAACACGUAUGCAACCUGCCCCUGUCAGGGGGACAACCCGCCGAAAGGCGGGCUAAACCCGCGUACAUGCCACCGGGGCAUCCCGGAGGCAGGAAAGGCUUCGGCCGGACAGGGAUGGGCAUGCGGCGCAUUAGGCAGUAGGCGGGGUAACGGCUCACCUAACCGACGAUGCGUAGGGGUUCUGAGAGGAAGGUCCCCCACACUGGUACUGAGACACGGACCAGACUCCUACGGGAGGCAGCAGUGAGGAAUAUUGGUCAAUGGUCGGGAGACUGAACCAGCCAAGCCGCGUGAGGGAUGAAGGUACAGAGUAUCGUAAACCUCUUUUGUCAGGGAACAAAGGCGGGGACGUGUCCCCGGAUGAGUGUACCUGAAGAAAAAGCAUCGGCUAACUCCGUGCCAGCAGCCGCGGUAAUACGGAGGAUGCGAGCGUUAUCCGGAUUUAUUGGGUUUAAAGGGUGCGCAGGCGGUCUGUUAAGUCAGCGGUCAAAGCCCGGGGCUCAACCCCGGCCCGCCGUUGAAACUGGCAGUCUCGAGUUGGAGAGAAGUAUGCGGAAUGCGCGGUGUAGCGGUGAAAUGCAUAGAUAUCGCGCAGAACUCCGAUUGCGAAGGCAGCAUGCCGGCUCCACACUGACGCUGAGGCACGAAAGCGUGGGUAUCGAACAGGAUUAGAUACCCUGGUAGUCCACGCAGUAAACGAUGAAUGCUGGCUGUCCGGGGGGGAUUGACCCCUGGGUGGCGAAGCGAAAGCGAUAAGCAUUCUACCUGGGGAGUACGCCGGCAACGGUGAAACUCAAAGGAAUUGACGGGGGCCCGCACAAGCGGAGGAACAUGUGGUUUAAUUCGAUGAUACGCGAGGAACCUUACCCGGGCUCAAACGGGGAGUGACUCAGGCAGAGACGCCUGUUUCCCACGGGACACUCCCCGAGGUGCUGCAUGGUUGUCGUCAGCUCGUGCCGUGAGGUGUCGGCUUAAGUGCCAUAACGAGCGCAACCCCCGCGUGCNAGUUGCUAACAGAUAACGCUGAGGACUCUGCACGGACUGCCGGCGCAAGCCGCGAGGAAGGCGGGGAUGACGUCAAAUCAGCACGGCCCUUACGUCCGGGGCGACACACGUGUUACAAUGGGUGGUACAGCGGGAAGCCAGGCGGCGACGCCGAGCGGAACCCGAAAUCCACUCUCAGUUCGGAUCGGAGUCUGCAACCCGACUCCGUGAAGCUGGAUUCGCUAGUAAUCGCGCAUCAGCCAUGGCGCGGUGAAUACGUUCCCGGGCCUUGUACACACCGCCCGUCAAGCCAUGGGAGCCGAGGGCGCUUGAAGUGCGUCGCCGCGAGGCGCGCCCUAGAGCGAAAUCGGUGACUGGGGCUAAGUCGUAACAAGGUAGCCGU
Molecule: ribosomal RNA, 1494 nt
Filed under: uncultured bacterium
Lineage: Bacteria
Description: 16S ribosomal RNA
Rfam family: Bacterial small subunit ribosomal RNA
Source: RNAcentral